Molecule: ribosomal RNA, 1104 nt
Filed under: Triticum aestivum (bread wheat)
Lineage: Eukaryota; Viridiplantae; Streptophyta; Magnoliopsida; Poales; Poaceae
Description: partial small subunit ribosomal RNA
Source: RNAcentral
AUGACGGCGGCGUCGCCGAUGGUGCUGUCCCUCCUGCUCUUCGCCUCGCUCACGGCGCUGCUCGUCCUGGCCCCUCGCGCGUCGUCGCCGCCGCUGCCGCUGCCGCUGCCCGUGGUGGUUGGGGACGAGGAGGCGCCGGCCGCCGCUGGGGGUGCUGCUGCGGGGAGCAGCGGCGGGGGGGCGGGAGUUGAGGAGGGACCGGAGGACCUCGCGCUGUCCCGGCGCGUCACGCUCGACGCCGGCGAGGGUGCGGCGGUAGCGUCCAAGGUGGCCUUCAUGUUCCUGACCAACUCCGACCUCACCUUCGCGCCGCUUUGGGAGCGCUUCUUCGCGGGGCACGCCCACCAGUUCAACGUCUACGUGCACGCAGACCCGGCGGUGAGGCUGCGGCACCCCCCUACGCCUUCCUUCCGGGGCCGCUUCGUCGCGGCCAAGCCGACGCGGCGCGGGGACCCGAGCCUCAUCGCUGCGGCGCGGCGGCUGCUUGUCGCCGCGCUACUGGACGACCCGGCCAACGCCUACUUCGCACUGCUCUCGCAGCACUGCGUCCCGCUCCACUCCUUCCCGCGGCUCUACGCGGCGCUCUUCCCGCCCAAGGCCGCGCACCACCACCGCCUCCCUAGCUAUAUCGAGGUGCUUACCGGCGAGCCCCAGAUGCCCGCGCGCUACGUGGCGCGGGGUGACGACGCCAUGCUCCCGGAGGUGCCCUUCGACCGGUUCCGCAUCGGCUCCCAGUUCUUCACGCUGGCCCGCCGCCACGCCGUGCUAGUCGUCCGCGAGCGCCGUCUCUGGCGAAAGUUUAGGGAGCCGUGCCUGCAGGAGUCGCAGGACUCUUGCUACCCGGAGGAGCACUAUUUCCCGACGCUUCUCGACAUGGCCGACCCCGCCGGCUGCACCCGGUACACGCUCACGCGCGUCAACUGGACCGACAGCUUCGAGGGCCACCCGCACACGUAUGCCGCGCCCGAGGUGUCGCCGCGGCUCGUCGCCGAGCUGCGCCAGUCCAACAGCUCCACCUAUGAGCACAUGUUCGCGCGCAAGUUCGCGCCCGACUGCCUUGGCCCGCUCAUGGCCAUCGCCGACACCGUCAUCUUCAAAGAUUGA